Molecule: long non-coding RNA, 828 nt
Organism: Ornithorhynchus anatinus (platypus)
Lineage: Eukaryota; Metazoa; Chordata; Mammalia; Monotremata; Ornithorhynchidae
Exons: 3
Source: RefSeq, a predicted model, not a curated record
GUCACUCCUGGGAACUGCAUCAUUCUCACCUUUGCUCGCUUUUCAACGUUAAAAAAAGCAUUGUUGAUGGAUUGUGUUUGCCCUGACUGCCUGAGCAAGAGAGAGGAGAGCAGGAGAGAAGCUAUGUGAGAGAAACCAUGUGGAUCCAACUGAAACUCCAGAGCCUACAUCCAGGGAGGGAAAGAAAUCUCAACAUGUCCACAUUUAUGCUCUGGUUCUUCAAGAGGUUCAUCACGGGGCUCGUGAACAUAGGGCUGAUGAGACUGUGAGUCCCAGAGCCUGGCUUUUCCUCGGGGAUGGUAACAAAGGCAGGAGGUGGACUGAUGCUCGGCCCGAAAAUCAACGUGACCACUGGGGUGAACAGAGAAUAGUCCAGAGGAGUAGCCUCCUCCUCUCUCCCCCUCGAUGGUCAUCUCUGUGGCCCUGCAGGGAUUGUUUAGGGCAGAGAGCCGCGGCCCCAUCACUGCUCCGGGACUGGAUCCCCCAUGGCGUGUCCCAGGAGAAAUCGGAAGAGGGGCCCAGAGAUCCCAGCGAUGGCUCCUAGGAUCGACCGAAUGCUAACCAGUCACCUGACCAAAUCUCUCUCACUGCUACUACUCUGAUCAUCCUUCCCGCCGGCCAGUAUGCAGGAGGCUAGAGAUCAUCACACCUUGCUCGUGACCCUUUCACCAGAGAAGGAAAACAACGCAAGCCACACCAGACUAAGAGAAAGCAAACCCCUGGGCAAUGCCAGCCGUCCUCUCCGCUGCAGAAACACAAAGAGGAACCCUACGAAGAAAACAUCCUGCAACUCUCUCUAAUCUCAGUAAACCCUGAGACAGCAAACUA